Molecule: long non-coding RNA, 267 nt
Filed under: Elaeis guineensis (African oil palm)
Lineage: Eukaryota; Viridiplantae; Streptophyta; Magnoliopsida; Arecales; Arecaceae
Description: long non-coding RNA (EGUI_LNC008893)
Source: RNAcentral
GGGCAUCUCAAAAAGAUUUCUAAACUUGGUUUCAACCACAAAGCUCCAAGUGGGAUCUUUAGCUGAUCCAACAUAAUAAACUUGAGUUUUUUGGCUUGCUAGCACAAAAGAUUCUUGAAUGCUUAGUCUGCUUGCUAUGUUAAUACUAAUAAUUCCAUGAUGACUUCUCUCUUAUCCAACUCCUCUAGUUAUAUCAUACUCGUCGUAUUUAAAUAAUCGACUCUGAUCUCUUCAGUAUAAUGAAGUUCAAUAACAUCGGUAAGGAAU